GCAUAUCAAUAAGCGGAGGAAAAGAAACCAACAGGGAUUGCCCUAGUAACGGCGAGUGAAGCGGCAACAGCUCAAAUUUGAAAUCUGGCCCUCGGGUCCGAGUUGUAAUUUGUAGAGGAUGUUUUUGGUGAGGUACCUUCCGAGUUCCCUGGAACGGGACGCCAUAGAGGGUGAGAGCCCCGUCUGGUUGGAUACCGAUCCUCUGUAAAACUCCUUCAACGAGUCGAGUAGUUUGGGAAUGCUGCUCUAAAUGGGAGGUAUAUGUCUUCUAAAGCUAAAUAUUGGCCAGAGACCGAUAGCGCACAAGUAGAGUGAUCGAAAGAUGAAAAGCACUUUGAAAAGAGAGUUAAAAAGUACGUGAAAUUGUUGAAAGGGAAGCGCUUAUGACCAGACUUGGACUUGGUUGAUCAUCCUGGGUUCUCCCUGGUGCACUCUUCCAGUUCAGGCCAGCAUCAGUUCGUCGCGGGGGAUAAAGGCUUCGGGAAUGUGGCUCCCUCGGGAGUGUUAUAGCCCGUUGUGUAAUACCCUGCUUUGGACUGAGGUUCGCGCAUCUGCAAGGAUGCUGGCGUAAUGGUCAUCAGCGACCCGUCUUGAAACACGGACCAAGGAGUCGUCUUCGUAUGCGAGUGUUCGGGUGUUAAACCCCUACGCGUAAUGAAAGUGAACGCAGGUGAGAGCUUCGGCGCAUCAUCGACCGAUCCUGAUGUUCUCGGAUGGAUUUGAGUAAGAGCAUACGGGGCCGGACCCGAAAGAAGGUGAACUAUGCUUGUAUAGGGUGAAGCCAGAGGAAACUCUGGUGGAGGCUCGCAGCGGUUCUGACGUGCAAAUCGAUCGUCAAAUAUGAGCAUGGGGGCGAAAGACUAAUCGAACCUUCUAGUAGCUGGUUUCCGCCG
This 893-nucleotide ribosomal RNA is filed under the name Cylindrocladiella australiensis. RNAcentral describes it as "LSU rRNA". It matches the Rfam family "Eukaryotic large subunit ribosomal RNA", at positions 38 to 963 of the family's 3401-position model. Lineage: Eukaryota; Fungi; Ascomycota; Sordariomycetes; Hypocreales; Nectriaceae. The record is from RNAcentral.